AAAAAAUUUUUAUGGUUUAAAAAAUUUAUUUAAAAUUUAUUUUACAUAUAAAUUUUAGUGUUAAUUUUAAUUAUUUAAAUAAUAAUUAAUUUAUUAUAAGUAGUAAUUAAUAUUAAAUAUUUAAGUAAUUAAGAUUUAGUAAUAUAAGAAUUAAUAACAAAUUUUGUGCCAGCAGUUGCGGUUAUACAAAAAUUAAAAUAAAUUUUUUUAGUUAUUAAUAAAUAAUUUAAAAUAAAAUAAUUUAAAUUUUAAUUUAUUAGGUGAAAUUUUAAUUUAAUUAAAAAUUAUUUUUAUGAAAUUAAUAAAUUUUAAUUAUAAACUAGGAUUAGAUACCCUAUUAUUGAAAAAUUAAAUUUAUAAUACUAAAAUAUUAGAUUUUUAUUGAAACUUAAAUAAUUUGGCGGUAUUUUAGUUCAUUUAGAGGAAUCUGUCUAAUAAUUGAUAAUCCACGAAUAAAUUUACUUAAUUUAUUAUUUUGUAUAUCGUUGUUAAAAAAAUAUUUUUUAAUGAUUAAUAAUAUUUAAAAAUUUAAAUUUAAAAUUAAAUCAAAUCAAGAUGCAGAUUAUAAUUAAGAAUAUGAUGGAUUACAAUAAAUUUAUUUAAGAGGAUAUUAAUAUGUAAUAUUAAUUGAAAAUGGAUUUAAAUGUAAUUUUUUUUAAUUUAUAAAAAUGAUUAAUAAUUAAAAUAUGUACAUAUUGCCCGUCGCUUUCAUUUAAAAAUUGAAAUAAGUCGUAACAAAGUAGAAGUACUGGAAAGUGUUUCUAGAAAGAA
This 771-nucleotide non-coding RNA is filed under the name Histia rhodope. The record is from RNAcentral. Lineage: Eukaryota; Metazoa; Arthropoda; Insecta; Lepidoptera; Zygaenidae.